Molecule: non-coding RNA, 56 nt
Filed under: unclassified sequences
Source: RNAcentral
ACACCAAUGUAGCUCAGACCUGUGACAAGCCAGGCUAGAAAAAUACAGAGUCGUGU